This is a long non-coding RNA of Capsicum annuum, 3811 nucleotides long. RefSeq lists it as uncharacterized. The transcript has 2 exons. The record is from RefSeq and is a predicted model, not a curated record. NCBI's taxonomy places the organism in Eukaryota, Viridiplantae, Streptophyta, Magnoliopsida, Solanales, Solanaceae.
UUAGAAAAAGUGAUGAGGGGAAAAAGGAGAAUUUAGUAAAUUUAACUGACAAUGUAUAAGCUUGUAACUUUUAUACUUUCUAAUGUUUUUAAAGUUUGAUAGCUUAGCAGCUCCUCUGAGUUUUGGUUAUUAAUACAAGGUUAUCUUCGUAAAAAAGAAGUAUCUAAAGUUUCAUUGAAUGUUUGGGAAAAAAUGCCCAUAGAUUAAGAAGUAUAUUGAAAAGUAGAAAACCUACAACAAGAUAUGAUUUUAUAUGAAUGUCAUCCAAGCUUAAAUAUAUAAAAGGACCUCAUGGGUGCAUCUAAAAGAUAGGAAAUUCCUUAACAAUGCAAUAUCAGUUUCUACCCUUAACAUAUAUUAUUUAUAUAAGAAUCUAUAUACUAUUUUAUACAUUAUAUAACGUGGAAUACAAAUCUCUUAGCAAUACCAGGAUAAGAUCACCUAAAGUGACAAACAACUCUCGAAAACUCUAAAGUAUGAUUACUUAUUUUUGUAUAAAAAUAAAUUAUUUUAUAAAAAUAUAAAAUCAUUGGAGUAUUUAUAUUGUAAGGAUUUAUAAUUCCUAGAUCACAAUCUUUUAAAUGACUAGGGAAAGGUGAUUAGACAUGAAAUGAUGCAGUUUAAACUUAUCGAGGACGUAAUCUUAGAUAAGAGGUUGUGGAGAACACAUAUUAGGGUAGAAGAGUUGGUAGGUUGGAGUGUUGUCUUCUGUUCGUUUAGUAGAUAUCGCAUUACUCUUGUAGUUUCUUGUCCUUUGAUUUCUAUUACUAUUUGAUGUUUCUUGAACUUUAACUAUCAUAUUGCUUUGUUACUAUCUAUUUUUUUGAAUUUGUAUUAUUUUUUGGACCAUUUUAGACUAUUUUCUUGAGUCGAGGGUGUAUGAGAAAUGACCUCUCUAUCUCUGAGGAAGGGGUAAGGUCUGCUUUAGACCUCUCUAUCUCUCUUUUAGUCUUCGGAGACUUAGUGGACUUAUUCUAGAAUGUCUUGAUCGUUGUCUUGAUAAUGAUAAAUGGUUAGAUUGCUAUCCUAAUACGAUAAUCACUCACCCUCCUCUUACUUAUUCCGACCAUUCUCCUCUCUUGAUUAAUCUCAAUAAUGGCACCCGAGUUAGGGAAAACAAACCCUUUAGGCUUGAAAAACUUUGGUGUACUCACCUUGAAUUUCAGGGGCUUCUUACCCAAUCUUGGACCUUGGAUAUAUUAUUAGAUCCACCACUCACUUUGCCGAUGUCGUUAAGGAUUAGAGCUCUACCACCUUUGAGGAUAUUAGAAAAAAUAAAAAUCUACUUGUUGAUUCUUUUAACAUUCCCCCGAAGCUAAACCAAACUUAAUUAUGUAUCAUUCCUAAAAUCCAGAAUGCUAAUUUUAAAAAUUACCAACCUAUUUGUAUUUGUAAUACCAUCUACAAGACUAUCACAAAAAUUAUUGUCAACUAUAUUAAACCCAUCCUCAAUGAUAUCAUUGGUCCUUAUCAAACUAUUUUUUUUCAAUGAAGACGUCUUUUCGAUAAUGCCAUUAUUAUUCAAGAACUAAUGAAUUGCUUCAAGACUACUCGAUCCAUAGAGUGGUCUUUUAAAAUAAAAGAACUCUUCUCUACUUCAAUUUUCCUCCCAAAAUUGCCAAAUUAAUUAUGAACUGCAUUACUUCAAUUUUCCUCCCAAAAUUACCAAAUUAAUUAUGAACUGCAUCACUACUAAGACUAUCUCUAUUUUGGUUAAUGGAAUAAAAAUUGAAUUCUUCUCUCCUACUAGAGUUAUUUGACAGGGCGACCCUCUUUUGCCUUACUUAUUCAUUCUUUGCAUGGAACUUCUCUCCAUAUCCAUCAAUCAACAAGUCCGAAAUGGAUUAUGGGAAUCUGUUAAGUUAUCUCCUUUGGGAACCUGUUAAGUUAUCUCCUUUCACCCCUCCUUUAUCGCACUUAUUCUAUGCUGAUGAUCUCACUUAAACUACAAAAUCAUCCUUGGCUACUGCUCAAAAUAUUCAGCAUGUUCUUACUACCUUCCGUUAACUCUCAGGACAUUUCAUCAAUUGAGCUAAAUCAAAAGCUAUCUUUUCAAAGAAUUGUUAUCCCACUCUCAUUCACCAAAUUACUUCCCUCUUUAACAUAAAACAAUCUACCUCCUUUGGCACCUAUUUAGGCUUUCUUAUCCUUAAUGGGGCUCCCCGACCUUGGGACCGCUUCCACAUUUUAGAUACAAUGAAUAUCAGCUCUUCUAUUGGAAAACUAGGUUCCUUACAAAUGCUGAGAAGCUCACUCUCAUUAAAGCUACUUUAAAUGCUAUUCCUGCCUAUCAAAUGCAAUAUUUUCUUCUCCCCUCCAAAAAUUCUCAAUAAAAAAUAAAAUUGAAAGAGAUUUUUUAUAGGGUUCCACUUUCGAUAAACACAAACUUCAUUAUGUCAAUUGGUCUAUUAUUACGUCCCCCAUUAAUGAAGAUGGUCUAGGCAUACAUAAAGCUAAAUCCAAGAAUCUAGCCAUGAUUACUGGACUGACUUGGAGGCUCUUCACCAACCCCUACAAACUUUGGUCUAGCUGCCUUAUGGAUAAAUAUGCUAAUCGCUCCUCCACCUCCCUUACUUUCUUUAUUUGGAAAACUAUCAUCAAAAGUUGGUCUUUGGAAAACUAUCAUCAAAAGUUGGUCUUUUUGUGACAAAGCCAUUCAUUAGAUUAUUGAUGAUGGAAAUCUUAUUAAUUUCUAGAAUUAUCACUAGAUUAGUCCCACCACCACCAUUCAUUCCCUUAUUAAUGGUCUUUUAGCCCAUACUGACAUCGGAAAGCUAGUUUCUUAUCAUCGCAACACUAACUAUUGGGAUUGGAGAAAAUUCUCCUUUGUCAUUCCCAAUGAUAUCAAAAAACAAAUCUCCCCCGUUUAUGUUCCCCCCUCCACUCCCAUCUAUUCCUUAAUCAUCAUGGUAUUUUUUCCACUGUUUCCACUUAUAUAAUUCUUUGGAAUCUUAUUCCCUUCAUAAUAGAUUUUCACUAAAUUUGGAAACUUAAUACUUUUCAAAAGAUCAAAUUCUUCCUUUGGCAAACUCUCCAUAAUCGCCUCCCAGCAAGGAAUAUCUACAUAAAAUCAAUGUUAGUGAUACAAACCAGUGCCCUAUUUGCUGAAACGGCAUUGAAGAUGCCUUCCAGAUCUUUUUCGCCUAUCCAGUAGCCAAAAUCCCACAAACUUCUUUCAAUUCAAUUCCCAUCCACUCUGGCUCAUUGCUAUUUCGAAAGUAAAUAUUACUCUUGCCAAAUCAUAUCCUCCAAUGGGAUAUUUUCUACCCUUUUGCCUUGUGUCAUACAUGGCUCAAUCGAAACCAUAAUAUAACCAUAACUAGCACAACCUCAUCUCUCCUUAUUUUAUAAACUCUUGAGUGAUAAACUAUACCUACACUCUAAACACCUUCCUAGAUAUACCUACCUUUUAAAUAAAUCCUUAUCAAAUAGUUCUCCCACCGGUUGGGUUUUUCAAACUUAACACAGAUGGUACUUUCAAACCCUCUACUCAUCAAGGUGGCAUUGGUGGAGUCAUACAAUAUGAUAAAGGAGAAAUGGUGGUACUGGUUAACGAGGUUGGAGAUCCACUGCUUAGGCAUAACAAUAGAGAGGGAAAUGAAGUAGCAUAUGUUUUGUCUCAACAAGGAGCACACAACUUAGUGGCAACAAAUUUUCAAGUGUUUUUGUACCCUCCCCUAUGGGUGUUCACUAUUUUUCAACAAGAUAGAGAAGAACACAGUACUUGUAAAACGUUUUUUUUUCAUGUUUGUAAUAGACUAGCUAAUUUGGGUAACUCAAUAUUACAAUCUCUACUAUAAUCCUACUGCUA